Molecule: long non-coding RNA, 473 nt
Organism: Zonotrichia leucophrys gambelii
Lineage: Eukaryota; Metazoa; Chordata; Aves; Passeriformes; Passerellidae
Exons: 3
Source: RefSeq, a predicted model, not a curated record
GUCCUGGCGAAGGGAUUUCUCAGAAAAUAUCACAAAUAUCACUCAGUUAUUGAUUUCUCCCUCCUCUUCUGGUAUCUUUACUUAUUUUAGAAAUCAAAUAUUCGUGGAUCUGAUGUUGGUUUCCUUGAGCUGCCUGGAAGCUUUCAGACCAUGUGGCUGCCAGAAAUGGAACAUCAAUUACAUCAAACGGUCACACGAUGGGACACGUCGGAGUCUGACGCUGCAGCUCCCUAAAAUGAGAUUUUCACACUUCCUACCUCAGUAACCGAGUUCCUUCCCAAGGUCACCUCUCAGGAAUCCCUGUGCUAACAGGAGAGGCAGGAGAGGAUUUUUCCUGGAGCUGCAGUGCACAGGGGUUGCAGGGAGUGCAUAAACACCCAGGUUCCCUAAAUAUCCUGAGUGACCCCAGGGUGUCCCCAGAGUUCAGCUGCCAGGAACAGCUGAGCAUGGAACAGCAAACAUUCCCUCAUCCU